UUGCAGUGCACGGAGAGGAUUGAGUGUUUCUGAUUUCCACCUCUGUGUCCUCUGCAGU
Molecule: microRNA precursor, 58 nt
Organism: Oreochromis aureus
Lineage: Eukaryota; Metazoa; Chordata; Actinopteri; Cichliformes; Cichlidae
Source: Ensembl